RNAcentral lists this ribosomal RNA (720 nucleotides) under uncultured bacterium. Its description in RNAcentral is "bacterial SSU rRNA". It matches the Rfam family "Bacterial small subunit ribosomal RNA", at positions 776 to 1496 of the family's 1533-position model. The record is from RNAcentral.
GAUUAGAUACCCUGGUAGUCCACGCCGUAAACGAUGUCGACUUGGAGGUUGUUCCCUUGAGGAGUGGCUUCCGGAGCUAACGCGUUAAGUCGACCGCCUGGGGAGUACGGCCGCAAGGUUAAAACUCAAAUGAAUUGACGGGGGCCCGCACAAGCGGUGGAGCAUGUGGUUUAAUUCGAUGCAACGCGAAGAACCUUACCUACUCUUGACAUCCAGAGAACUUAGCAGAGAUGCUUUGGUGCCUUCGGGAACUCUGAGACAGGUGCUGCAUGGCUGUCGUCAGCUCGUGUUGUGAAAUGUUGGGUUAAGUCCCGCAACGAGCGCAACCCUUAUCCUUUGUUGCCAGCGAUUCGGUCGGGAACUCAAAGGAGACUGCCGGUGAUAAACCGGAGGAAGGUGGGGAUGACGUCAAGUCAUCAUGGCCCUUACGAGUAGGGCUACACACGUGCUACAAUGGCGCAUACAAAGAGAAGCGACCUCGCGAGAGCAAGCGGACCUCACAAAGUGCGUCGUAGUCCGGAUCGGAGUCUGCAACUCGACUCCGUGAAGUCGGAAUCGCUAGUAAUCGUGGAUCAGAAUGCCACGGUGAAUACGUUCCCGGGCCUUGUACACACCGCCCGUCACACCAUGGGAGUGGGUUGCAAAAGAAGUAGGUAGCUUAACCUUCGGGAGGGCGCUUACCACUUUGUGAUUCAUGACUGGGGUGAAGUCGUAACAAGG